Molecule: ribosomal RNA, 254 nt
Filed under: uncultured bacterium
Lineage: Bacteria
Description: partial 16S ribosomal RNA
Rfam family: Bacterial small subunit ribosomal RNA
Source: RNAcentral
UACGAGGGGUCCUAGCGUUGUUCGGAAUCAUUGGGCGUAAAGAGUAUGUAGGCGGCCAAAUAAGUCAGGUGUGAAAUCCCCGGGCUCAACCCGGGAAGUGCAUUUGAUACUGUUUGGCUUGAGUAUGGAAGAGGGUAGUGGAAUUCCUGGUGUAGUGGUGAAAUGCGCAGAUAUCAGGAGGAACACCCGUAGCGAAGGCGGCACUCUGGGCCGAUACUGACACUGAGGAGCGAAAGCGUGGGGAGCGAACGAGG